This 425-nucleotide ribosomal RNA is filed under the name uncultured bacterium. RNAcentral's name for it is "partial 16S ribosomal RNA". It matches the Rfam family "Bacterial small subunit ribosomal RNA", at positions 354 to 796 of the family's 1533-position model. The record is from RNAcentral.
GUGGGGAAUAUUGGACAAUGGGCGCAAGCCUGAUCCAGCCAUGCCGCGUGAGUGAUGAAGGCCUUAGGGUUGUAAAGCUCUUUCAGUGGGGACGAUAAUGACGGUACCCACAGAAGAAGCCCCGGCUAACUUCGUGCCAGCAGCCGCGGUAAUACGAAGGGGGCUAGCGUUGUUCGGAUUUACUGGGCGUAAAGCGCACGUAGGCGGUUUGUUAAGUCAGGGGUGAAAUCCCGGAGCUCAACUCCGGAACUGCCUUUGAUACUGGCAAGCUAGAGUCCGGAAGAGGUAAGUGGAACUCCGAGUGUAGAGGUGGAAUUCGUAGAUAUUAGGAAGAACACCAGUGGCGAAGGCGGCUUACUGGUCCGGAACUGACGCUGAGGUGCGAAAGCGUGGGGAGCAAACAGGAUUAGAAACCCGGGUAGUCC